GUUCGUAAGAACAGGGUAUGACGGAGCGGCGAACGGGUGAGUAACACGUGAGCAACCUGCCCCACAGACCGGGAUAGCCCAAGGAAACUUGGAUUAAUACCGGAUUCCCUCGAACAACCGCAUGGUUGAUCGAGGAAAUGCCUUUGUGCUGUGGGAUGGGCUCGCGGCUUAUCAGCUAGUUGGUGGGGUAAAGGCCUACCAAGGCAUCGACGAGUAGCUGGUCUGAGAGGACGAUCAGCCACACUGGAACUGAGACACGGUCCAGACUCCUACGGGAGGCAGCAGCAGGGAAUCUUGCGCAAUGGGCGAAAGCCUGACGCAGCAACGCCGCGUGGGGGAUGAAGGCCUUCGGGUUGUAAACCCCUUUCAGGAGGGAAGAAAUUGACGGUACCUCCAGAAGAAGGACCGGCCAACUACGUGCCAGCAGCCGCGGUAAUACGUAGGGUCCUAGCGUUAUCCGGAAUCAUUGGGCGUAAAGAGCUCGUAGGCGGUUCAGCAAGUCGGCUGUGAAAGUCCGAGGCUUAACCUCGGAAUUGCAGUCGAUACUGCUGUGACUCGAGUCCGGUAGAGGAGAAUGGAAUUCUCGGUGUAGCGGUGAAAUGCGCAGAUAUCGAGAGGAACACCAGUAGCGAAGGCGGUUCUCUGGGCCGGCACUGACGCUGAGGAGCGAAAGCGUGGGGAGCAAACAGGAUUAGAUACCCUGGUAGUCCACGCCGUAAACGUUGGAUACUAGGUGUG
This 738-nucleotide ribosomal RNA is filed under the name uncultured Actinomycetes bacterium. RNAcentral's name for it is "bacterial SSU rRNA". It matches the Rfam family "Bacterial small subunit ribosomal RNA", at positions 75 to 824 of the family's 1533-position model. Lineage: Bacteria; Bacillati; Actinomycetota; Actinomycetes. The record is from RNAcentral.